RNAcentral lists this ribosomal RNA (253 nucleotides) under uncultured bacterium. RNAcentral describes it as "partial 16S ribosomal RNA". It matches the Rfam family "Bacterial small subunit ribosomal RNA", at positions 524 to 776 of the family's 1533-position model. The record is from RNAcentral.
UACAGAGGUCCCAAGCGUUGUUCGGAUUCAUUGGGCGUAAAGGGUGCGUAGGCGGCGCGGUAAGUCGAGUGUGAAAUCUCGGAGCUUAACUUCGAAACUGCAUUCGAUACUGCCGUGCUUGAGGACUGGAGAGGAGACUGGAAUUUACGGUGUAGCGGUGAAAUGCGUAGAUAUCGUAAGGAAGACCAGUGGCGAAGGCGGGUCUCUGGACAGUUCCUGACGCUGAGGCACGAAGGCCAGGGGAGCAAACAGG